RNAcentral lists this ribosomal RNA (329 nucleotides) under uncultured bacterium. RNAcentral's name for it is "bacterial SSU rRNA". It matches the Rfam family "Bacterial small subunit ribosomal RNA", at positions 28 to 359 of the family's 1533-position model. The record is from RNAcentral.
GAUGAACGCUAGCGGCAGGCCUAACACAUGCAAGUCGAGGGGCAGCACGUCUUCGGAUGGUGGCGACCGGCGCACGGGUGCGUAACGCGUAUGCAACCUACCUCUUACAGUGGGAUAGCCCAGAGAAAUUUGGAUUAAUACCGCAUAGUAUACAGAUUCAGCAUUGGGACUGUAUUAAACNUUUAUGGGUAAGAGAUGGGCAUGCGUUCUAUUAGUUAGUUGGAGUGGUAACGGCACCCCAAGACAGCGAUAGAUAGGGGCCCUGAGAGGGGGAUCCCCGACACUGGUACUGAGACACGGACCAGACUCCUACGGGAGCAGCAGUGAGG